RNAcentral lists this ribosomal RNA (467 nucleotides) under uncultured bacterium. RNAcentral describes it as "partial 16S ribosomal RNA". It matches the Rfam family "Bacterial small subunit ribosomal RNA", at positions 28 to 507 of the family's 1533-position model. The record is from RNAcentral.
GACGAACGCUGGCGGCGUGCUUAACACAUGCAAGUCGAACGGAAAGGCCCUGCUUUUGUGGGGUGCUCGAGUGGCGAACGGGUGAGUAACACGUGAGUAACCUGCCCUUGACUUUGGGAUAACUUCAGGAAACUGGGGCUAAUACCGGAUAGGAGCUCCUGCUGCAUGGUGGGGGUUGGAAAGUUUCGGCGGUUGGGGAUGGACUCGCGGCUUAUCAGCUUGUUGGUGGGGUAGUGGCUUACCAAGGCUUUGACGGGUAGCCGGCCUGAGAGGGUGACCGGCAACAUUGGAACUGAGUUACGGCCCGGACCCCUACGGGGGGCAGCGGUGGGGAUUAUUGCACAAUGGGCGGAGGCCUGAGGCGGCACCGCCGGGUGCGGGAUGCCGGCCUUCGGGUUGUAACCGCUUUCGCCUGUGACGAAGCGUGAGUGACGGUAAUGGGUAAAGAAGCACCGGCUAACUACGUG